UGCAGUUGUGGCUCAGUGGUAGAGUGCUUGCCUAGCAUGUGUUUGAUUCUCAUUGGGUUCAAUUCUGAGCACUGUAU
RNAcentral lists this transfer RNA (77 nucleotides) under Marmota monax (woodchuck). RNAcentral's name for it is "tRNA.Undet". The record is from RNAcentral. Lineage: Eukaryota; Metazoa; Chordata; Mammalia; Rodentia; Sciuridae.